AUUGAACGCUGGCGGCAUGCCUUACACAUGCAAGUCGAACGGUAACGGGCCUUCGGGUGCCGACGAGUGGCGAACGGGGGAGUAAUACAUCGGAACGUGCCCGAUCGUGGGGGAUAAAGAGGCGAGGGCUGUGCUAAUAUCGCAUACGAUCUACGGAUGAAAGCGGGGGGCCGCAAGGGCUUGCGCGGACGGAGCGGCCGAUGGCUGAUUUGGUAGUUGGUGGGAUAAAAGCCUUCCAAGCCGACGAUCUGUGGAUGGUCUGAGAGGAUGAUCAGCCACACUGGGACUGGGACACGGCCCAGACUCCUACGGGAGGCAGCAGUGGGGAAUUUUGGACCAUGGGCGCAAGCCUGAUCCAGCCAUGCCGCGUGGAGGAUGAAGGCCUUCGGGUUGUAAACUGCUUUUGUACGGAACGAAAAGCCUUCUUUUAAUACAGGAGGGUCAUGACGGUACCGUAAGAAUAAGCACCGGCUAACUACGUG
Molecule: ribosomal RNA, 482 nt
Filed under: uncultured bacterium
Lineage: Bacteria
Description: partial 16S ribosomal RNA
Rfam family: Bacterial small subunit ribosomal RNA
Source: RNAcentral